CUUGAAGACUACAAGCUUGAUAGGUUGGAUGUGUAAGUGCAGUAAUGCAUUUAGCUGACCAAUACUAAUAGUACGUUUGUCUUUUUUUA
RNAcentral lists this ribosomal RNA (89 nucleotides) under Campylobacterota bacterium. RNAcentral's name for it is "Epsilonproteobacteria bacterium partial 23S ribosomal RNA". It matches the Rfam family "Bacterial large subunit ribosomal RNA", at positions 2837 to 2925 of the family's 2925-position model. Lineage: Bacteria; Pseudomonadati; Campylobacterota. The record is from RNAcentral.